RNAcentral lists this ribosomal RNA (460 nucleotides) under uncultured bacterium. RNAcentral's name for it is "bacterial SSU rRNA". It matches the Rfam family "Bacterial small subunit ribosomal RNA", at positions 355 to 804 of the family's 1533-position model. The record is from RNAcentral.
UGGGGAAUAUUGGACAAUGGGGGCAACCCUGAUCCAGCCAUGCCGCGUGUGUGAAGAAGGCCUUUUGGUUGUAAAGCACUUUAAGCGAGGAGGAGGCUACCUGUAUUAAUACUAUAGGCUAGUGGACGUUACUCGCAGAAUAAGCACCGGCUAACUCUGUGCCAGCAGCCGCGGUAAUACAGAGGGUGCGAGCGUUAAUCGGAAUUACUGGGCGUAAAGCGCGCGUAGGCGGUUUGUUAAGUCGGAUGUGAAAUCCCCGGGCUCAACCUGGGAAUUGCAUUCGAUACUGGCAAGCUAGAGUAUGGGAGAGGAAGGUAGAAUUCCAGGUGUAGCGGUGAAAUGCGUAGAGAUCUGGAGGAAUACCGAUGGCGAAGGCAGCCUUCUGGCCUAAUACUGACGCUGAGGUGCGAAAGCAUGGGGAGCAAACAGGAUUAGAUACCCAAGUAGUCCCUGAGCGGGC